RNAcentral lists this ribosomal RNA (644 nucleotides) under Escherichia coli. RNAcentral's name for it is "bacterial SSU rRNA". It matches the Rfam family "Bacterial small subunit ribosomal RNA", at positions 882 to 1526 of the family's 1533-position model. The record is from RNAcentral. Lineage: Bacteria; Pseudomonadati; Pseudomonadota; Gammaproteobacteria; Enterobacterales; Enterobacteriaceae.
ACGGCCGCAAGGUUAAAACUCAAAUGAAUUGACGGGGGCCCGCACAAGCGGUGGAGCAUGUGGUUUAAUUCGAUGCAACGCGAAGAACCUUACCUGGUCUUGACAUCCACAGAACUUUCCAGAGAUGGAUUGGUGCCUUCGGGAACUGUGAGACAGGUGCUGCAUGGCUGUCGUCAGCUCGUGUUGUGAAAUGUUGGGUUAAGUCCCGCAACGAGCGCAACCCUUAUCCUUUGUUGCCAGCGGUCCGGCCGGGAACUCAAAGGAGACUGCCAGUGAUAAACUGGAGGAAGGUGGGGAUGACGUCAAGUCAUCAUGGCCCUUACGACCAGGGCUACACACGUGCUACAAUGGCGCAUACAAAGAGAAGCGACCUCGCGAGAGCAAGCGGACCUCAUAAAGUGCGUCGUAGUCCGGAUUGGAGUCUGCAACUCGACUCCAUGAAGUCGGAAUCGCUAGUAAUCGUGGAUCAGAAUGCCACGGUGAAUACGUUCCCGGGCCUUGUACACACCGCCCGUCACACCAUGGGAGUGGGUUGCAAAAGAAGUAGGUAGCUUAACCUUCGGGAGGGCGCUUACCACUUUGUGAUUCAUGACUGGGGUGAAGUCGUAACAAGGUAACCGUAGGGGAACCUGCGGUUGGAUCAC